Molecule: transfer RNA, 73 nt
Filed under: Canis lupus familiaris (dog)
Lineage: Eukaryota; Metazoa; Chordata; Mammalia; Carnivora; Canidae
Also listed under: 1 other name
Rfam family: tRNA
About the family: Transfer RNA (tRNA) molecules are approximately 80 nucleotides in length. Their secondary structure includes four short double-helical elements and three loops (D, anti-codon, and T loops).
Source: Rfam by way of RNAcentral
ACCUGACUGGCUCAGUCAGUAGAGCUCGUGACUCCUAAUCUUGGGGUUUUAAGUUGGAGCCCUAUGUCGGGUG